Molecule: ribosomal RNA, 201 nt
Filed under: uncultured Bacillus sp.
Lineage: Bacteria; Bacillati; Bacillota; Bacilli; Caryophanales; Bacillaceae
Description: partial 16S ribosomal RNA
Rfam family: Bacterial small subunit ribosomal RNA
Source: RNAcentral
UCAAAUCAUCAUGCCCCUUAUGUUCCUGGGCUACACACGUGCUACAAUGGCCGGUACAGACGGACGCAAAGCCGCGAGGUGGAGCAAAUCCUAAAAAGCCGGUCUACAGUUCGGAAUUGCAGGCUGCAAUUCGCCUGCAUGAAGUCGGAAUCGCUAGUAAUCGCAGGUCAGCAUACUGCGGUGAAUACGUUCCCAGGCCUU